RNAcentral lists this ribosomal RNA (2375 nucleotides) under Salmonella enterica subsp. enterica serovar Enteritidis. RNAcentral's name for it is "partial 23S ribosomal RNA". It matches the Rfam family "Bacterial large subunit ribosomal RNA". The record is from RNAcentral. Lineage: Bacteria; Pseudomonadati; Pseudomonadota; Gammaproteobacteria; Enterobacterales; Enterobacteriaceae.
CCACCACCAAAGCAUUUGCUGUACCGCGUUGACGGAGCGAAGCGACGUCAAACCGAUAAAACAGCAGUGUAAAGUGAGCCGCAGGGCGCUUUGCGCGACAGCGCAAAGGCAGGCGGUUUCGCGUAGCGAAAGCGAAUGCUUUGGGGUGGGGUGACUGCGUACCUUUUGUAUAAUGGGUCAGCGACUUAUAUUCUGUAGCAAGGUUAACCGAAUAGGGGAGCCGGAGGGAAACCGAGUCUUAAUUGGGCGUUAAGUUGCAGGGUAUAGACCCGAAACCCGGUGAUCUAGCCAUGGGCAGGUUGAAGGUUGGGUAACACUAACUGGAGGACCGAACCGACUAAUGUUGAAAAAUUAGCGGAUGACCUGUGGCUGGGGGUGAAAGGCCAAUCAAACCGGGAGAUAGCUGGUUCUCCCCGAAAGCUAUUUAGGUAGCGCCUCGUGAAUUCAUCUCCGGGGGUAGAGCACUGUUUCGGCUAGGGGGCCAUCCCGGCUUACCAACCCGAUGCAAACUGCGAAUACCGGAGAAUGUUAUCACGGGAGACACACGGCGGGUGCUAACGUCCGUCGUGAAGAGGGAAACAACCCAGACCGCCAGCUAAGGUCCCAAAGUCAUGGUUAAGUGGGAAACGAUGUGGGAAGGCCCAGACAGCCAGGAUGUUGGCUUAGAAGCAGCCAUCAUUUAAAGAAAGCGUAAUAGCUCACUGGUCGAGUCGGCCUGCGCGGAAGAUGUAACGGGGCUAAACCAUGCACCGAAGCUGCGGCAGCGACACUGUGUGUUGUUGGGUAGGGGAGCGUUCUGUAAGCCUGCGAAGGUGGCCUGUGAGGGUUGCUGGAGGUAUCAGAAGUGCGAAUGCUGACAUAAGUAACGAUAAAGCGGGUGAAAAGCCCGCUCGCCGGAAGACCAAGGGUUCCUGUCCAACGUUAAUCGGGGCAGGGUGAGUCGACCCCUAAGGCGAGGCCGAAAGGCGUAGUCGAUGGGAAACGGGUUAAUAUUCCCGUACUUGGUGUUACUGCGAAGGGGGGACGGAGAAGGCUAUGUUGGCCGGGCGACGGUUGUCCCGGUUUAAGCGUGUAGGUGUGUGUUCCAGGUAAAUCCGGUUCACUUUAACACUGAGGCGUGACGACGAGGCACUACGGUGCUGAAGCAACAAAUGCCCUGCUUCCAGGAAAAGCCUCUAAGCAUCAGGUAACAUCAAAUCGUACCCCAAACCGACACAGGUGGUCAGGUAGAGAAUACCAAGGCGCUUGAGAGAACUCGGGUGAAGGAACUAGGCAAAAUGGUGCCGUAACUUCGGGAGAAGGCACGCUGACACGUAGGUGAAGUGAUUUACUCAUGGAGCUGAAGUCAGUCGAAGAUACCAGCUGGCUGCAACUGUUUAUUAAAAACACAGCACUGUGCAAACACGAAAGUGGACGUAUACGGUGUGACGCCUGCCCGGUGCCGGAAGGUUAAUUGAUGGGGUCAGCGCAAGCGAAGCUCCUGAUCGAAGCCCCGGUAAACGGCGGCCGUAACUAUAACGGUCCUAAGGUAGCGAAAUUCCUUGUCGGGUAAGUUCCGACCUGCACGAAUGGCGUAAUGAUGGCCAGGCUGUCUCCACCCGAGACUCAGUGAAAUUGAACUCGCUGUGAAGAUGCAGUGUACCCGCGGCAAGACGGAAAGACCCCGUGAACCUUUACUAUAGCUUGACACUGAACAUUGAGCCUUGAUGUGUAGGAUAGGUGGGAGGCUUUGAAGUGUGGACGCCAGUCUGCAUGGAGCCGACCUUGAAAUACCACCCUUUAAUGUUUGAUGUUCUAACGUGGACCCGUUACCCGGGUUGCGGACAGUGUCUGGUGGGUAGUUUGACUGGGGCGGUCUCCUCCUAAAGAGUAACGGAGGAGCACGAAGGUUGGCUAAUCCUGGUCGGACAUCAGGAGGUUAGUGCAAUGGCAUAAGCCAGCUUGACUGCGAGCGUGACGGCGCGAGCAGGUGCGAAAGCAGGUCAUAGUGAUCCGGUGGUUCUGAAUGGAAGGGCCAUCGCUCAACGGAUAAAAGGUACUCCGGGGAUAACAGGCUGAUACCGCCCAAGAGUUCAUAUCGACGGCGGUGUUUGGCACCUCGAUGUCGGCUCAUCACAUCCUGGGGCUGAAGUAGGUCCCAAGGGUAUGGCUGUUCGCCAUUUAAAGUGGUACGCGAGCUGGGUUUAGAACGUCGUGAGACAGUUCGGUCCCUAUCUGCCGUGGGCGCUGGAGAACUGAGGGGGGCUGCUCCUAGUACGAGAGGACCGGAGUGGACGCAUCACUGGUGUUCGGGUUGUCAUGCCAAUGGCACUGCCCGGUAGCUAAAUGCGGAAGAGAUAAGUGCUGAAAGCAUCUAAGCACGAAACUUGCCCCGA